UACGUAGGGGGCAAGCGUUGUCCGGAUUUAUUGGGCGUAAAGAGCUCGUAGGCGGCUUGGCAAGUCGGGUGUGAAAACUCCAGGCUCAACCUGGAGAUGCCACUCGAGACUGCUAUGGCUAGAGUCCGGUAGGGGACCACGGAAUUCCUGGUGUAGCGGUGAAAUGCGCAGAUAUCAGGAGGAACACCGGUGGCGAAGGCGGUGGUCUGGGCCGGCACUGACGCUGAGGAGCGAAAGCCAGGGGAGCAAACGGG
This 254-nucleotide ribosomal RNA is filed under the name uncultured bacterium. RNAcentral describes it as "partial 16S ribosomal RNA". It matches the Rfam family "Bacterial small subunit ribosomal RNA", at positions 524 to 776 of the family's 1533-position model. The record is from RNAcentral.